UACGAAGGGGGCUAGCGUUGCUCGGAAUUACUGGGCGUAAAGGGCGCGUAGGCGGAUAUUUAAGUUGGGGGUGAAAUCCCGGGGCUCAACCUCGGAAUUGCCUUCAAAACUGGAUAUCUUGAGUUCGGGAGAGGUGAGUGGAACUCCGAGUGUAGAGGUGAAAUUCGUAGAUAUUCGGAAGAACACCAGUGGCGAAGGCGACUCACUGGCCCGAUACUGACGCUGAGGCGCGAAAGCGUGGGGAGCAAACGGG
RNAcentral lists this ribosomal RNA (253 nucleotides) under uncultured bacterium. Its description in RNAcentral is "partial 16S ribosomal RNA". It matches the Rfam family "Bacterial small subunit ribosomal RNA", at positions 524 to 776 of the family's 1533-position model. The record is from RNAcentral.